AACGCACGAGACCUGCGGACCUGCGGAAGGAUCAUUAUCAAUUUACAGCGGACUUCGGUCCUGUCUGCACCCUUGUCUUUUGCGUACUAUAUGUUUCCUCGGUGGGCUUGCCUGCCGAUAGGACACUUAUAAACUCUUUUGUAAUUGCAAUCAGCGUCAGAAAACUAUAAUAGUUACAACUUUCAGCAAUGGAUCUCU
Molecule: unclassified non-coding RNA, 198 nt
Filed under: soil metagenome
Description: partial contains 5.8S ribosomal RNA, internal transcribed spacer 2, and large subunit ribosomal RNA
Source: RNAcentral